Passer domesticus (house sparrow) is the source of this 856-nucleotide long non-coding RNA. RefSeq lists it as uncharacterized. NCBI's taxonomy places the organism in Eukaryota, Metazoa, Chordata, Aves, Passeriformes, Passeridae. The record is from RefSeq and is a predicted model, not a curated record. The transcript has 2 exons.
CGCAGUGCACGGCCGGAGCUGCUGCCAACGCUAAACCCUCGCUGCUGACCUUUCCGGCUGAUCUCCCUUCCUCCAAAGCUGUCGAUGAACGUGUCUGCGUACGCAGGAGAAACCGGCAGCCCUUGAAAGAACCGAAAGCACUGUACCCAGACUGUCAGGGGCCACGAGACACCCUGCCCGGCCAGGGGUGCUGAGUUCUGAGCACAGCAGCACUCUGAAGCACAGGACACGCAGCCUAAAACGGGAACAGCAAACAGUGACCUGUUAAUUAACUGCUCCGGCCACAUCUGAGGGAAAUAUAAGGAAUAAUGAACAGAAGCAAGGGUGAGGAGAAGCAAGUCCCUACCUCUUCAAAAGAUCUGGAUGCAAAGUCAUACAUAGAUGCGAGUGUGUGUUAACAUAUAUAUUUUAGUUCAUACCACAAUCAUAAUUAAUUGCUUCUCAACACAGGAUGGGGGGAGGGGGGGGAAGAGCCACCUGUCUUUACCAUCUACAUAAUAACACUAGCAUGUCCUGUCAGUACUCCCGUCUGGACAAGAUCUUUCAAACCCUCGAGAACCUCACUAACCAAUCUUACACGUUAUAAGACUCUAAAGCAAUUAAAGAAUCACACAGAUGCCCCCAAAAGCAAGGCUAGGAGCAGGCAGCUUGCGAGCAGCAGCUAAAACAAGCUCUAGUUCUUCAGCUGAUGAGGCCAAUGCCAACAGCACUUAAAGCAACCCCUGGAUGGGACAGAACCCAUGAGGCCAGAACCAUUUACUGAACCCAUGUAAAACAAACUCCUCUGGCCAUGUAAGUGGAAAAAUGAGUUAGAACAAUAAAUGGUUUUUAAUAAAGAGCAUCUGUGUCAGUAAAA